UGGGGAAUUUUGGACAAUGGGCGAAAGCCUGAUCCAGCAAUGCCGCGUGUGUGAAGAAGGCCUUCGGGUUGUAAAGCACUUUUGUCCGGAAAGAAAUCCUUGGCUCUAAUACAGUCGGGGGAUGACGGUACCGGAAGAAUAAGCACCGGCUAACUACGUGCCAGCAGCCGCGGUAAUACGUAGGGUGCAAGCGUUAAUCGGAAUUACUGGGCGUAAAGCGUGCGCAGGCGGUUUGCUAAGACCGAUGUGAAAUCCCCGGGCUCAACCUGGGAACUGCAUUGGUGACUGGCAGGCUAGAGUAUGGCAGAGGGGGGUAGAAUUCCACGUGUAGCAGUGAAAUGCGUAGAGAUGUGGAGGAAUACCGAUGGCGAAGGCAGCCCCCUGGGCCAAUACCGACGCUCAUGCACGAAAGCGUGGGGAGCAAAACAGGAUUAGAUACCCCUGGUAGUCCACGCCCUAAACGAUGUCAACUAGUUGUUGGGGAUUCAUUUCCUUAGUAACGUAGCUAACGCGUGAAGUUGACCGCCUGGGGAGUACGGUCGCAAGAUUAAAACUUAAAUGAAUUGACGGGGUCAUAGCUGUUUCCU
Molecule: ribosomal RNA, 587 nt
Filed under: uncultured bacterium
Lineage: Bacteria
Description: partial 16S ribosomal RNA
Rfam family: Bacterial small subunit ribosomal RNA
Source: RNAcentral